AGUGUGACCGCUUAGUGGUUAGAGCGUCCGCAUCGGAUGCGAAAGAUCGUGGGUUCGAUUCCCGGUCGAGUCAUACUA
This is a non-coding RNA of Potamilus streckersoni, 78 nucleotides long. The record is from the annotation of a GenBank genome assembly. NCBI's taxonomy places the organism in Eukaryota, Metazoa, Mollusca, Bivalvia, Unionida, Unionidae.